UGUGAGCUCUGCAUCCAUGAUUCCACGGCGGACGGGUGAGUAAUGCCUAGGAAUCUGCCUGGUAGUGGGGGACAACGUUUCGAAAGGAACGCUAAUACCGCAUACGUCCUACGGGAGAAAGUGGGGGAUCUUCGGACCUCACGCUAUCAGAUGAGCCUAGGUCGGAUUAGCUAGUUGGUGAGGUAAAGGCUCACCAAGGCGACGAUCCGUAACUGGUCUGAGAGGAUGAUCAGUCACACUGGAACUGAGACACGGUCCAGACUCCUACGGGAGGCAGCAGUGGGGAAUAUUGGACAAUGGGCGAAAGCCUGAUCCAGCCAUGCCGCGUGUGUGAAGAAGGUCUUCGGAUUGUAAAGCACUUUAAGUUGGGAGGAAGGGCAGUAAGUUAAUACCUUGCUGUUUUGACGUUACCAACAGAAUAAGCACCGGCUAACUUCGUGCCAGCAGCCGCGGUAAUACGAAGGGUGCAAGCGUUAAUCGGAAUUACUGGGCGUAAAGCGCGCGUAGGUGGUUCGUUAAGUUGGAUGUGAAAGCCCCGGGCUCAACCUGGGAACUGCAUCCAAAACUGGCGAGCUAGAGUAUGGCAGAGGGUGGUGGAAUUUCCUGUGUAGCGGUGAAAUGCGUAGAUAUAGGAAGGAACACCAGUGGCGAAGGCGACCACCUGGGCUAAUACUGACACUGAGGUGCGAAAGCGUGGGGAGCAAACAGGAUUAGAUACCCUGGUAGUCCACGCCGUAAACGAUGUCGACUAGCCGUUGGGAUCCUUGAGAUCUUAGUGGCGCAGCUAACGCAUUAAGUCGACCGCCUGGGGAGUACGGCCGCAAGGUUAAAACUCAGAUGAUUUGACGGGGGCCCGCACAAGCGGUGGAGCAUGUGUUUUACUUCGAAACAACGCGAAAAGCUUUACCACGCCUUUGACAUGCAGAGAACUUUUCCAGAGAUGGAUUUGGUGCCUUUCAGGAACUUCUGACACAAGGUGCUGCAUGGGCUGUCAUCAAGCUGCGUGUCGUGCAGCAUGAUGAGGUUAAGGUUCCUCAUAACCGAGACGACAACCUUUUGUCCUUAACGUACCGAGCACGGUUAAAGGUUCGGUCACCUCUACGGAUAACUUGACGUCACUAUCGGAGCCGUACGAAGCUGAUAG
Molecule: ribosomal RNA, 1144 nt
Filed under: Stutzerimonas stutzeri
Lineage: Bacteria; Pseudomonadati; Pseudomonadota; Gammaproteobacteria; Pseudomonadales; Pseudomonadaceae
Description: bacterial SSU rRNA
Rfam family: Bacterial small subunit ribosomal RNA
Source: RNAcentral